UGAAAAGUAGUGGAUGAGAGAUCAUUUCCGGGUUACAAAUAUGUUAAUAUCUUUUUAAAUAUAGCUGCAAUCAAAACAAAGACAUUGUUGAUUGGACAGUUUCAAUAACUUCGACUCAGUCACAAAUAUACUCUUUAUGUUUAAAGACAAUAUAGCUUUUUGAUUUGAAAUCUGAUAAAAUCUUAUAUCAUAAAAUAUGCUCAAAUCCUAAUUACAGCUUCUCAUGUUGCAAUGGAUAAAUGGGUAUGAAUCAUGCUUGUUAAAUAUUGAACCUCAAAACUAAGAAGAAAUUGAUUUUUUUAACAUUUUUAAAUUUUGGUCCUUCAAUGGACUUUUGCAUCGCUGCCAACCCUUGACCUUUUAAAUAACCACUAUGCAAGCAAAUUAUGGUUAAGUGUCUGAAAUGUUGUUUCGUCUAUUUUAGCCAACCCAAAGGAGCUAACAAAUAAAUCAUCAGUCCUCAAACGAAUCAACCAGUGAAGGAGAAAAACAUUCAAAGCCGUAAAUUGUCAAAUCCAUCAGUUGGAAGAUGGAUGUCAAAGUCUUAGACAACGAAAGGCUUCCAGAGUUAAGAAAAGACCACUUCAACAAAAACAAUCAUGCAAAGAAUGACUGCAAAAAAUCUUUUCGCAGAUGCGUUUCAUCAUCAAGUGUAUAAGGAAAAGGGACCUGGGUACAGAGACUAGAUGUAAAUGUCAAGGACUGAAAUGAGCAAUUCAAUGGUUUCUUACUAAUUGUGUUUAUAUGCGUCAUAAGAAAUUAAAACUGUUAUAAAUGGA
Long non-coding RNA from Mya arenaria, 779 nucleotides. RefSeq lists it as uncharacterized. NCBI's taxonomy places the organism in Eukaryota, Metazoa, Mollusca, Bivalvia, Myida, Myidae. The transcript is spliced from 2 exons. The record is from RefSeq and is a predicted model, not a curated record.